Oncorhynchus tshawytscha (Chinook salmon) is the source of this 355-nucleotide long non-coding RNA. The record is from Ensembl. NCBI's taxonomy places the organism in Eukaryota, Metazoa, Chordata, Actinopteri, Salmoniformes, Salmonidae.
AGACCAGUCAUCUACAGACAGAGAGGUAUAUUACUAUCACAACAUAUAGACCAGUCAUCUACAGACAGAGAGGUAUAUUACUAUCACAACACAUAGACCAGUCAUCUACAGACAACAUAUAGACCAGUCAUCUACAGACAGAGAGGUAUAUUACUAUCACAACAUAUAGACCAGUCACCUACAUACAGAGAGGUAUAUUACUAUCACAACAUAUAGACCAGUCAUCUACAGACAGAGAGGUAUACUACUAUCACAACAUAUAGACCAGUCAUCUACAGACAGAGAGGUAUAUUACUAUCACAACACAUAGACCAGUCAUCUACAGACAACAUAUAAACCAGUCAUCUACAGACAG